Molecule: long non-coding RNA, 481 nt
Organism: Melanotaenia boesemani (Boeseman's rainbowfish)
Lineage: Eukaryota; Metazoa; Chordata; Actinopteri; Atheriniformes; Melanotaeniidae
Exons: 2
Source: RefSeq, a predicted model, not a curated record
GUGAAAGCUUAUCCCAGCUGCCAAUGGGCAAACCAUGGGGUACUUUGCCACUUACUCACUCCUCGGCUCAGUUUAGAAUGAAUCUAACAUGCAUGAUUUUGGACUGGGAGAGGAAGCCACAGCACGAGGAGCAAACCCACACAGGCAGAGGUAGAAUAUGCAAUUUCUACAGAAAGGCCCCCAUCUGGGAUUUGAACUAUGAACCUUCCUGCUUUGAGGCGAUGAGGCCAACCACUGAAGCAACAUGCAAUCACCAUAACACCAAAAUCACAAGUUCGAGUGGAGGCAGGAAGUUGGCCUACAGGCCCACAGAGCAGAGGAGGACACCAGAGGAAACUUCUGCUCCAAAGUCAACAGGAGGUCAUGCUUCAGGAAAAGCACUGCUACCGAUUUGUUCUUAAUUAAUAGACCCUACUCAGCUGGGAACCAUCUGAGUGCCAAAACAUUGAUGAGUUGAAAAAAAAAAAGCAAAACAAACAAA